Molecule: ribosomal RNA, 42 nt
Filed under: Boeremia exigua var. heteromorpha
Lineage: Eukaryota; Fungi; Ascomycota; Dothideomycetes; Pleosporales; Didymellaceae
Description: partial 18S ribosomal RNA
Source: RNAcentral
GGGACAAGGUUUCCGUAGGUGAACCUGCGGAAGGAUCAUUAC